AUUGAACGCUGGCGGCAUGCCUUACACAUGCAAGUCGAACGGCAGCACGGGAGCAAUCCUGGUGGCGAGUGGCGAACGGGUGAGUAAUAUAUCGGAACGUGCCCAGUCGUGGGGAUAACGUAGCGAAAGCUACGCUAAUACCGCAUACGAUCUAUGGAUGAAAGCGGGGGAUCGCAAGACCUCGCGCGAUUGGAGCGGCCGAUAUCAGAUUAGGUAGUUGGUGAGGUAAAGGCUCACCAAGCCGACGAUCUGUAGCUGGUCUGAGAGGACGACCAGCCACACUGGGACUGAGACACGGCCCAGACUCCUACGGGAGGCAGCAGUGGGGAAUAUUGGACAAUGGGCGAAAGCCUGAUCCAGCCAUGCCGCGUGUGUGAAGAAGGUCUUCGGAUUGUAAAGCACUUUAAGUUGGGAGGAAGGGUAGUAACCUAAUACGUUGCUACUUUGACGUUACCGACAGAAUAAGCACCGGCUAACUUCGUGCCAG
This 487-nucleotide ribosomal RNA is filed under the name uncultured bacterium. Its description in RNAcentral is "bacterial SSU rRNA". It matches the Rfam family "Bacterial small subunit ribosomal RNA", at positions 30 to 511 of the family's 1533-position model. The record is from RNAcentral.